This 497-nucleotide ribosomal RNA is filed under the name uncultured bacterium. RNAcentral's name for it is "partial 16S ribosomal RNA". It matches the Rfam family "Bacterial small subunit ribosomal RNA", at positions 28 to 507 of the family's 1533-position model. The record is from RNAcentral.
GAUGAACGCUGGCGGCGUGCCUAAUACAUGCAAGUCGAGCGAACGGACGAGAAGCUUGCUUUUCUGAUGUUAGCGGCGGACGGGUGAGUAACACGUGGAUAACCUACCUAUAAGACUGGGAUAACUUCGGGAAACCGGAGCUAAUACCGGAUAAUAUUUUGAACCGCAUGGUUCAAAAGUGAAAGACGGUCUUGCUGUCACUUAUAGAUGGAUCCGCGCUGCAUUAGCUAGUUGGUAAGGUAACGGCUUACCAAGGCAACGAUGCAUAGCCGACCUGAGAGGGUGAUCGGCCACACUGGAGCUGAGACACGGUCCAGACUCCUGCGGGAGGCCGCAGUAGGGAAUCGUCCGCAGUGGGCUAAAGCCUGACGGAGCGACGCCGCGUGAGUGAUGGAGGUCUUCGGAUCGUGAAACUCUGUUAUUAGGGAAGAACAUAUGUGUAAGUAACUGUGCACAUCUUGACGGUACCUGAUCAGAAAGCCACGGCUAACUACGUG